Long non-coding RNA from Pecten maximus, 836 nucleotides. RefSeq lists it as uncharacterized. Lineage: Eukaryota; Metazoa; Mollusca; Bivalvia; Pectinida; Pectinidae. The transcript is spliced from 2 exons. The record is from RefSeq and is a predicted model, not a curated record.
UUCCUGGGAAUCUUGCCUGCAGCCCGUUGAGAGAGGUGAAAGUGAGAGGAAGGAAAAAGAUUAAUGACAUAUUGCUUUCCCCAGCCACGUCUACAAAUGUCCAGAAUUUCUCACUUCAGCCUGUCAAGAGAGACCUUCUGUCACAAUGACUUGUACAACAAUCAACCUGUCAAGAGAGACCUUCUGUCACAACGACUUGUACAACAAUCAACCUGUCAAGAGAGACCUUCUGUCACAACAACUUGUACAACAAUCAACCUGUCAAGAGAGACCUUCUGUCACAACGACUUGUACAGCAAACAACCUCUCAAGAGAGACCUGUCACAAAGACUUACACAAAAACAACCUGUCAAGUGAAACCUUCUGUUACAAGGACAUGUACAACAAGCAACCUGUCAAUAGAGACCUGUCACAACUUGUACAACAAACAACCUGUCAAGAGAGACCUGUCACAAAGACUUACACAAAAACAACCUGUCAAGAAAGACCUGUCACAAAGACUUACACAAAAACAACUUGUCAAGAAAGAACUUUCAUUUGGUGAUUAAUUAUAAAUAUAGCAGGUAAACAAACUAAAUACAUGCACUCAUAAAUGAAUUGAUUUUUUCAAUUGGUCUAAAGAGCACAAAAUAUUAUCUCAGUUUCCUCUGCAAUGCUUUCUUUUAUCAGCAUGAAAUGGAGUAGGUACAAUAGUAUGUAAUGGAGUAGGUGUAUCAUUUAAGGGUAUAGAAUUUGUACUUUAUUUCUGUUGUCUAGAAACUAACACUAGGGAAUGACCACCAGUCUGAUGUCUUCUGUCUAUAUAUAGUGUAAAUAAACUCCAAAGUUAACAACUA